RNAcentral lists this long non-coding RNA (680 nucleotides) under Cairina moschata (Muscovy duck). RNAcentral's name for it is "domestica (muscovy Duck (domestic type)) lncRNA (ENSCMMG00000000035.1)". The record is from RNAcentral. Lineage: Eukaryota; Metazoa; Chordata; Aves; Anseriformes; Anatidae.
UAAUGUAAAAACAAGACCUUGAUCAUCUUUGGCCAGACCUGUGAUCCUAAGUCGCUCUACCAAUUGUCUCGUCCUUAGUUCAUUUGCUGUUUUUUGUUGCAGGAUGAAUUAUACAUUGUUCAUUGUGAGGAGAACUAGUCCAGAAAUUGGAACCUGAGGCCUGGCAGAAUCCAGGAACAAAGGCAACCCUCCAACCUCUACUUUCCAAGUGGGAACCAGAUAUCCAAAUAUGGCCUUCACUUGAAGGUCCGGGAGAACGGGUGAGGUGCCUGAAGACUGAAGGAAAGCCAGUGUCAUUCUGGUCUUCAAAAAGGGCAGGAAGGAGAAUCUGGGAAGUGACAGUCUCCCAGCUCAGAGCCAACCACCUAUUAGUCUGGUGCAACGGAUUUGUGUGUUCCUUGCACUAGCUGUUCGCUCACCUCCUCUUCACGUACAAGGACACACGUCUCUUUCACGCUCCUUCAGGAGUAAACAAGCCAGGAGAGAUUAAAGCCUUUUUCUCCAGGUCAGUAAGAUCCCUGCCUUUGGUUUCGUUGAGAAUUCAGGCCCUAACAACUCAAGUGUCUUCUGGACGGUGUUUCUUCUGGGUAGGAUAAUUUCAUUUCCCUUUUGAAGACUUACAGGGAUGCAGUAACAAAAGCAAAGGCAUAAAAUGGUACCUGAGGCACAGGCUACUUUUC